UCGGAAUCAUUUUCUCCCCCUCGGCCUCCGGCCUGCCGCGCCGGCGCCGGCGGGCUAGGCCGGCCCCCGAAAUCGGUGAGGAGAAAUCUGUCAGUAGCAUGUCAAAGUCGUCGCUCCGUAAUUUUUUUCACUCAGAAAACAUUUUCAAGGCAGUUGGCAAAUCAUCAAAGGUUUGGAUUUCAACAGGAAGAAUUGAUAAAGUGAUCUUUGUGAUAUCAGCUGACGUCAAGAGACAUGUUUGUUGAGCAAUGGAAGUAUAUUUUUUCACUGGCACUGGAUCUUCUUCGAAUUCGAUGGACAUUGAUUUGUUGGUGCUGAAUUGUGUUGCUAAUUCGAUCAUGAACAUGAAUGUGAUGUUGCGAAGAGAGCUGAAAGGAUGAGAACGUCGACACUCCACUGACUCCAGAAAUAUUUCUGUAAAAGUAACUAGGCAUAGAUCCUAAGUGAGUUUUUUACCCGUGGCCGUAGAACAGUGGCUGCAUUCAAGACUGGAGUUGAAAGCUUGGCCCUUUAUCUAUUCUACAUGACUAAUAUGCUGAGCAGGACAUCAGGAGGGAUAUUGCUGUUGUGUUUUGGACAGCAGAGAAGGCAGGUACAGAGGUCUUCAAACCAGAGGAAGACAGGCAAAAACAGGAUAUCUCCAUGAAGGUGAUCUGAUAAAGAGUGUCAAGAAUGAAAGUCAUCUGAAUAUAGUUUCAAAUGAAUGCAAUCAGCAAGUGGUAUCCAUGAGAGCAGUACUCUGAAGGGUUGAUCUGACAGUAGUGGUUCAACAGGAAGGAUGGAGCAUGGAGCUAGAUUGUAAGGAGUCAUGAUGGAGAAUGAACUCGAGAAACCUGGGUCAAAGGUCAAGAAAAUGCCUGGAAAAAUGCCACCAGAACCAGUGCUGUAGCCGUUAUACCAAGGGAGAGAAUGCUAGAAGAGGGACAUACAGAUUCUGACCAACUAGUCAUCUUGCCAAAUAUCAAGGAUCUGUCAACUUUUCAAUAGAGGCUUAGGAGACGGUGAAGGCUGUGAAAGCUCUGGUUAAACUCAUCUCACUCAGUGUACAACAAGAAUCCACCAGCUGGUGUUAACCAUCUUGCUAUAGUAUCAGAGAGAUUGUCUACCAGAGACAAGGACGUGACGCUAAUCUUCAAGUCUUCAACUACAUGGAAUGUCCGGUGUGAACAGUUAUUGGUCUUUGCGUGAAGUAUGGUCAUCACAAGAAUGGCUAUGACACCAAACUCUUCAUAUGCACCCUCAAUCUUGUGUCAAUGAUCUAUUCAUGAUGAAGAAUAUUAUAAAGGGAUGGAAUCUUGACGUCAGUCAUGAUCUACUUUAUAUCUGGUGUAAGCCUGAUUUAAAUGCGCCCCUUCAGAUCAAGUUUUUUACUGAUAUACAGUGUAGAUGAUGUUUGGUGUUAAAAGGAUGGUCCGGGCUGAAAAUAUCUUAAAACAUAGA
RNAcentral lists this long non-coding RNA (1440 nucleotides) under Lytechinus variegatus (green sea urchin). RNAcentral's name for it is "uncharacterized LOC121418267, transcript variant X3". Lineage: Eukaryota; Metazoa; Echinodermata; Echinoidea; Temnopleuroida; Toxopneustidae. The record is from RNAcentral.